RNAcentral lists this ribosomal RNA (1253 nucleotides) under human gut metagenome. RNAcentral describes it as "bacterial LSU rRNA". It matches the Rfam family "Bacterial large subunit ribosomal RNA", at positions 1111 to 2436 of the family's 2925-position model. The record is from RNAcentral.
AGCAGCCACUCAUUAAAAGAGUGCGUAAUAGCUCACUGGUCGAGUGACUCUGCGCGGAAAAUAUAACGGGGCUAAGCAUGAAACCGAAGCUUGGGCUUGUACUUAGGUACAGGGGUAGGGGAGCGUCGAGUAUGGGGUGAAGUCAGAGCGGAAGCACUGGUGGACUGUACUCGAGUGAGAAUGCCGGAAUGAGUAGCGAGAAUUAUGUGGGAAUCAUAAUGGCCGAAAAUCUAAGGUUUCUUGGGGAAGGUUCGUCCGCCCAAGGUAAGCCGGGAGCUAAGGCGAGGCCGCGAGGCGUAGUCGAUGCACAUACGGUAGAAAUUCCGUAGCCACCGAACUUUAAACCAGAAGGACACUUUCAGAUAGCGGGACCCAGCCGUUGGUAGAGCUGGGCGCAAGGGACCGAAAUAUAGUAGGGAAGUCCGCGAUGCUGGGAGGCGAGAAAAGCUCUGGUGUACACUAAGGUGCCCGUACCGCAAACCGACACAGGUAGAUGAGGAGAGAAUCCUAAGGCCAACGGGAGAAGGGUUGUUAAGGAACUCGGCAAAUUGACCCCGUAACUUCGGAAGAAGGGGAGCCCCCUACGGGGGGUCGCAGAGAAAUGGCCCAAGCAACUGUUUACCAAAAACACAGGUCUAUGCUAAAUCGAAAGAUGACGUAUAUGGGCUGACGCCUGCCCGGUGCCGGAAGGUUAAGAGGAGAGCUUAGCGCAAGCGAAGGUUUGAAUUGAAGCCCCGGUAAACGGCGGCCGUAACUAUAACGGUCCUAAGGUAGCGAAAUUCCUUGUCAGGUAAGUUCUGACCCGCACGAAUGGCGUAAUGAUUUGGGCACUGUCUCAACAGCCCGCCCGGCGAAAUUGUAGUACUGGUGAAGAUGCCAGUUACCCGCAACUAGACGGAAAGACCCCAUGGAGCUUUACUGCAGCUUAAUACUGAAAUUCGGUAGUACAUGUACAGGAUAGGUGGGAGACUGAGAAAUACAGGCGUCAGCUUGUGUGGAGUCGCUGUUGGGAUACCACUCUUGUACUGCUGGGUUUCUAACCUGCGGCCGUGAAUCCGGUCGGGGGACACUGUUAGGCGGGCAGUUUGACUGGGGCGGUCGCCUCCAAAAGAGUAACGGAGGCGCUCAAAGGUUCGUUCAGCACGGACGGAAAUCGUGCAAUGAGUGUAAACGCAUAAACGAGCCUAACUGCGAGACCGACGGGUCGAGCAGUAACGAAAGUUGGAGUUAGUGAUCCGGUGGUAUGUGAGUGG